AGCGAACGCUGGCGGCAGGCCUAACACAUGCAAGUCGAACGGAUCCUUCGGGAUUAGUGGCGGACGGGUGAGUAACACGUGGGAACGUGCCCUUUGGUUCGGAACAACUCAGGGAAACUUGAGCUAAUACCGGAUGUGCCCUUCGGGGGAAAGAUUUAUCGCCAUUGGAGCGGCCCGCGUCUGAUUAGCUAGUUGGUGAGGUAACGGCCCACCAAGGCGACGAUCAGUAGCUGGUCUGAGAGGAUGAUCAGCCACACUGGGACUGAGACACGGCCCAGACUCCUACGGGAGGCAGCAGUGGGGAAUCUUGCGUAAUGGGCGAAAGCCUGACGCAGCCAUGACGCGUGAAUGAUGAAGGUCUUAGGAUUGUAAAAUUCUUUCAGCGGGGACGAUAAUGACGGUACCCGCAGAAGAAGCUCCGGCUAACUUCGUG
RNAcentral lists this ribosomal RNA (433 nucleotides) under uncultured bacterium. Its description in RNAcentral is "partial 16S ribosomal RNA". It matches the Rfam family "Bacterial small subunit ribosomal RNA", at positions 29 to 507 of the family's 1533-position model. The record is from RNAcentral.